CGCACCUCGAGUAAAUGAAAGCCUGCCGGCUAUCGCUCGGCAACCCAUAUACAUGAUCACCGAUAUUUCCUCAUCAGCCGAUCACAUCCAGUCGACCAACUUUACGCUGCUGAACAGAUCUUGGCUCUGGAUUUCUUCAUCCAAUGAUGACACAAGGUGAUCGACUCUUAGUCAUCGCCGACCAAUCCUCAUCUCGAUGACACCCAAUUGGUGAUCCAAUUCAAAAUUCAACACCUACCGGAUGACAACUGUCGAGGAACUGAUAAGGCAACCACAACUAUCAUAUCCCAAAAAUCUUGAGCGA
RNAcentral lists this long non-coding RNA (304 nucleotides) under Elaeis guineensis (African oil palm). RNAcentral describes it as "long non-coding RNA (EGUI_LNC044517)". Lineage: Eukaryota; Viridiplantae; Streptophyta; Magnoliopsida; Arecales; Arecaceae. The record is from RNAcentral.